AUUGAACGCUGGCGGCAGGCCUAACACAUGCAAGUCGAACGGUAACAGGAAGAAGCUUGCUUCUUUGCUGACGAGUGGCGGACGGGUGAGUAAUGUCUGGGAAACUGCCUGAUGGAGGGGGAUAACUACUGGAAACGGUAGCUAAUACCGCAUAACGUCGCAAAACCAAAGAGGGGGACCUUCGGGCCUCUUGCCAUCGGAUGUGCCCAGAUGGGAUUAGCUAGUAGGUGGGGUAACGGCUCACCUAGGCGACGAUCCCUAGCUGGUCUGAGAGGAUGACCAGCCACACUGGAACUGAGACACGGUCCAGACUCCUACGGGAGGCAGCAGUGGGGAAUAUUGCACAAUGGGCGCAAGCCUGAUGCAGCCAUGCCGCGUGUAUGAAGAAGGCCUUCGGGUUGUAAAGUACUUUCAGCGGGGAGGAAGGGAGUAAAGUUAAUACCUUUGCUCAUUGACGUUACCCGCAGAAGAAGCACCGGCUAACCCCGUG
This 490-nucleotide ribosomal RNA is filed under the name uncultured bacterium. RNAcentral's name for it is "partial 16S ribosomal RNA". It matches the Rfam family "Bacterial small subunit ribosomal RNA", at positions 30 to 507 of the family's 1533-position model. The record is from RNAcentral.